AGGUUAAGUUACAAAGGGCGCACGGUGGAUGCCUUGGCACUAGGAGCCGAUGAAGGACGGAACUAAUACCGAUAUGCUUCGGGGAGCUAUAAGUAAGCUUUGAUCCGGAGAUUUCCGAAUGGGGGAACCCAGUACACAUCAGUGUAUUGCCUGCAAGUGAAUACAUAGCUUGUUGGCGGCAGACGCGGGGAACUGAAACAUCUCAGUACCCGCAGGAAGAGAAAGAAAACUCGAUUCCCAUAGUAGCGGCGAGCGAAGUGGGAAGAGCCCAAACCGAGAAGCUUGCUUCUCGGGGUUGUAGGACUGGACAUUGGAGUUACCAAAGUUCGACGUAGUCGAAGUCAGCUGGAAAGCUGCGCCAUAGAAGGUGAAAGCCCUGUAAACGAAACGGCGGACUCUCCGUCCAGGAUCCUGAGUACGGCGGAACACGUGAAAUUCCGUCGGAAUCCGGGAGGACCAUCUCCCAAGGCUAAAUACUCCCUAGUGACCGAUAGUGAACCAGUACCGUGAGGGAAAGGUGAAAAGCACCCCGGAAGGGGAGUGAAACAGUUCCUGAAACCGUGUGCCUACAAUUAGUCAAAGCCCGUUAACGGGUAAUGGCGUGCCUUUUGUAGAAUGAACCGGCGAGUUACGUUUGCCUGCGAGGUUAAGAUGAAAAGUCGGAGCCGGAGCGAAAGCGAGUCUGAACAGGGCGCUUCAGUAGGUAGAUGUAGACCCGAAACCAAGUGACCUACCCAUGACCAGGUUGAAGGUGUGGUGAAACACACUGGAGGACCGAACCCAUGUAUGUUGAAAAAUGCUGGGAUGAGUUGUGGGUAGCGGUGAAAUUCCAAACGAACUUGGAGAUAGCUGGUUCUCUCCGAAAUAGCUUUAGGGUUAGCCUCGGAGGAUGGAUCAUGGAGGUAGAGCACUGUUUGAACUAGGGGCCCGUCAAGGGUUACUGAAUUCAGAUAAACUCCGAAUACCAUUGAUCUUACUCCGGGAGUCAGACAGUGAGCGAUAAGGUCCAUUGUCGAAAGGGGAACAGCCCAGAUCACCAGUUAAGGUCCCUAAAUUUAUGCUAAGUGGAAAAGGAUGUGGCGUUGCACAGACAACUAGGAUGUUGGCUCAGAAGCAGCCACCAUUUAAAGAGUGCGUAAUAGCUCACUAGUCGAGUGGCACUGCGCCGAAAAUAUACCGGGGCUAAGCAUAAUACCGAAACUGUGGGUGCACCCGUCAGGGUGCGCGGUAGGAGAGCGUUCUAAGGGCGUUGAAGGUCGAUCGUGAGGACGGCUGGAGCGCUUAGAAGUGAGAAUGCCGGCAUGAGUAGCGAAAGAUCAGUGAGAAUCUGAUCCACCGUAUGACUAAGGUUUCCUGGGGAAGGCUCGUCCUCCCAGGGUUAGUCGGGAUCUAAGGCGAGGCCGCAAGGCGUAGUCGAUGACAAGCAGGUUGAGAUUCCUGCACUAGUUUAUUUUGUUUAAGCGAUGGAGGGACGCAGGAGGCUAAGGAAAGCGCACGGCUGGAAAAGUGCGUCCAAGCAGUAAGUCCGGUAGCGAGUGAAAUGCUUGCCGCCUUAAGGACAAGCUGUGAUGGGGAGCGAAAUUAAAGUAGCGAAGUUCCUGAUGUCACACUGCCAAGAAAAGCUUCUAGUGAGAAAUAAACUACCCGUACCGCAAACCGACACAGGUAGUCGAGGAGAGUAUCCUCAGGUGAGCGAGCGAACUCUCGUUAAGGAACUCGGCAAAAUGACCCCGUAACUUCGGAAGAAGGGGUGCUGACCGCAAGGUCAGCCGCAGUGAAUAGGCCCAAACAACUGUUUAUCAAAAACACAGGUCUCUGCUAAAUCGUAAGAUGAUGUAUAGGGGCUGACGCCUGCCCGGUGCUGGAAGGUUAAGAGGAUGAGUUAGCGCAAGCGAAGCCCAGAAUUGAAGCCCCAGUAAACGGCGGCCGUAACUAUAACGGUCCUAAGGUAGCGAAAUUCCUUGUCGGGUAAGUUCCGACCCGCACGAAAGGCGUAAUGAUUUGGGCACUGUCUCAACGAGAGACUCGGUGAAAUUAUAGUACCCGUGAAGAUGCGGGUUACCCGCGACAGGACGGAAAGACCCCAUGGAGCUUUACUGUAGCUUGAUAUUGAGUGUUGGUACCGCUUGUACAGGAUAGGUAGGAGCCGUAGAGAUCGGAACGCUAGUUUCGAUGGAGGCAUUGGUGGGAUACUACCCUAGCUGUAUGAACACUCUAACCCGCGC
RNAcentral lists this ribosomal RNA (2225 nucleotides) under Lacticaseibacillus rhamnosus. Its description in RNAcentral is "bacterial LSU rRNA". It matches the Rfam family "Bacterial large subunit ribosomal RNA", at positions 1 to 2232 of the family's 2925-position model. Lineage: Bacteria; Bacillati; Bacillota; Bacilli; Lactobacillales; Lactobacillaceae. The record is from RNAcentral.